This 204-nucleotide long non-coding RNA is filed under the name Lathyrus oleraceus (garden pea). Its description in RNAcentral is "Pisum sativum (pea) long non-coding RNA (PSAT_LNC027616)". Lineage: Eukaryota; Viridiplantae; Streptophyta; Magnoliopsida; Fabales; Fabaceae. The record is from RNAcentral.
GAGACUCUAUCGUCUUUUCUUUAUUUUGUUUUUUUUUCGUUUAUCGCUUUUUCUUUGUUGUUUUUAGAUAGUUUAUUUCCUUUUAGUUGUUUAUUUUGCUUUUUAGUAUAAUGCAUGAGUCUGACGAGUCACCGAAUAUAGUAAAUCUUUAGUACAAUCCUACCUCCCCAUACCUUUAGCCCCACCAAAAAAUUUUUGCAAAAG